Molecule: long non-coding RNA, 387 nt
Organism: Cebus imitator (Panamanian white-faced capuchin)
Lineage: Eukaryota; Metazoa; Chordata; Mammalia; Primates; Cebidae
Exons: 2
Source: RefSeq, a predicted model, not a curated record
GUUUCGUUUUGUUAGGAAACUGCCAAACCCUCUUUCAACUGUUUAGAGAUUUUAAAACCGGCAGAAAGUCCAGUUGGUCCUCAACCAAUUCUACAGCCAUGUCUCUGCAUCUUCAGAGUCCCUGCGCCAGUGAUUGGGAGUGAGUUCUCAGGACUAUGGUGGGGAGAGGAGCAGAGAUGUUGGCAGAAAGACUUGCAGCAAAGCCCCUGAGGAAAGAAACUGACUUGUGAACUCCAAGAACAGCCAUGCCAAGUAACAGAUGAAAGUCACUCACAGUGUUAAAUAUUCAUUUGUUACCCCAACAAGAAAAGUCUUGUUGAAAUUCAGAAAAUUCAGAAUUACAGUAUUCAAGAUUUAAUUUCACCAAAUAAAAGGUUUGUGGGGAUA